This 459-nucleotide ribosomal RNA is filed under the name uncultured bacterium. RNAcentral describes it as "partial 16S ribosomal RNA". It matches the Rfam family "Bacterial small subunit ribosomal RNA", at positions 338 to 795 of the family's 1533-position model. The record is from RNAcentral.
CCUACGGGUGGCAGCAGUGAGGAAUAUUGGUCAAUGGGCGGGAGCCUGAACCAGCCAAGCCGCGUGAGGGAAGAAGGUACAGCGUAUCGUAAACCUCUUUUGUCAGGGAACAAAGGCGGGGACUAGUCCCCGGAUGAGGGUACCUGAAGAAAAAGCAUCGGCUAACUCCGUGCCAGCAGCCGCAGUAAUACGGAGGAUGCGAGCGUUAUCCGGAUUUAUUGGGGUUAAAGGGUGCGCAGGCGGCCUGUUAAGUCAGCGGGAAAAGCCCGGGGCUCAACCCCGGCGAGCCGUUGAAACUGGCGGGCUGGAGUUGGAGAGAAGUACGCGGAAUGCGCGGUGUAGCGGUGAAAUGCUUAGAUAUCGCGCAGAACCCCGAUUGCGAAGGCAGCGUACCGGCUCCACACUGACGCUGAGGCACGAAAGCGUGGGUAUCGAACAGGAUUAGAUACCCUAGUAGUC